AACUCAUUUUUUAAUAAAUAAAAUGGAUGAUUAAAUAUAUAUAUUUUAACCAUUUUGCCACCCGAUGUACCUUAGAAGUGGAAUUAGAAUAUGAGCAAACAGUGUAUUUCCAGUCAUAUGAAUAUAUUUAACUCUUCUUUUUUAACCCCUCUCAUAACCCAGAACAGGCCGAUUUCAAUGGCUGGAAUACAUAGACACCUCUUAACUUUUUAGUAAAAAUUGUUUAGACGCCUCAACUAGGACCAUGACCUAUCUACCGCUCGAUUGAAGUUUGCAGCAUAGCAGAGUUGUGGAUUUAGUAUGCAGAUUAGUUAAAACAGGGUAAGAUGGCAAAAUGCUCAAACACUUGAGAAAAGAGGUAUGUGAAGUGUUUCUGUUACAACAGUCAAUAUGUGAAGUCUUUAUUAAAAACGUAUUGCAAUACCACAUGCCCUUGAAAUUAGAUAAGUGUGUUUAACUCAGCUAAAUGUUGGUAGGGAAAUUGGAAUAGAUUUGUCUAAAAUUAAGAGUAACAAAUUGGAUUGGAUCAUUCAUCUCAACUUUCCCUGUGGAAUCAUAGAUUAGUGUGUUUAACUCAACGCAUGAGUUUAUUAGUUAAAAACCAUAGAAUUCUGUAUUAAUUUUGUCCUCAACCUAUGCUUCUUAGUUUACAGUUUCUUUCCUUCUUUAUAAGCUCUCAGUUUUCUUUAAGUAAUUAUUAUGUUCUUAGGUAAGUGGCCUACUGUGAUCGUGCUAGAAAUAAUAAAAUGAGAAUUAUGAAGACAAGUUAAUCAAGUUGUCACUUUUCACUAAGUGUCUUGCUUCAAGAAGGGGAUCUUAUCGCGACGUGUAAGAGUUGUCGCUGUGUGAAAAGGAAAUCAUGUGUUCUAGCCGUGCAAAGUGCAAACAACAUCUUGCAAAAAUGCAAAGUAAGGUUUUGAACAAUAGACCAAAUGUGUUCGGCCCCUCUCUAGACCCCACACAUAGUGGGAGGUUAGUGCACCGGGCUGCCCUUAUUUUUAUAUAUCUUGUUUCAAAAUUUCUUAACUGAUCAUGGGAUGUUUGGAAAUAUAACCUUUCUUUAUUAAUUUAGAUGCUAUGUUCUAGCAUCACUCUGGUGUGUUUGUCUGGCUCUUUCUCUAGGUUGGGCAUAAGUGUGUGUGCUUCUAGCUUGUAAAAUGUAAAAUCAAAAGCUGAUAACAGGAGAAUCUUAGUAGUCCAGUUGAUUGGCUACUUGAAUUUUCACCUUGUUGGUGGGGGUUCGAUUCCCCUCCUUGCAAUAUCUUCCCCCAUUUCCCCUUCCCCUCCUGCUAUGCACAAUGAAAAAAAUGAUAACAAUAACUAUAUAAGAGCUGUAACAUUACCGAGAUAUGGUGUGUUUCUCACGUAGAAAGAUGACCAUUGUGUCGUUUCUUCUUGACUUAUUAGUGAUGAUAUCUUUUUGAUUCCCUCUUCAAUUCAGUUCUAGGAAUUGGGUCUUAUGUGAACAACACAUACUGAAGAAGAUGAGUGAGUCUAAGAAUUGGUUGGUUAGUAGAAAUCAUGAUCUAAGGAAGCAAGGAUCAAAUGAGGGAUUUUUUCAAACAUGUAAACUUGAGAAAUUAGCUGUACUAAAAUUUGUUGCCGCUGGUAUGUUCAACUUGUGUGAUUUCAGAUUCAGCAAUCCAUUUAUGUCAUGUGACUUCAGAUUGAAAUACUAUUGGGAAUUCCCUUUCCAGUAAGUCCAGUAGUACUCUUGUCACCUGACGCGUUUGGGUACAGUAACGUAUAAGGCAUCUGUAUAGGUCCUUUUCGGUUCUUCAAUGUAUUGUCGUUGUUCCUAUCCAUUAUUCUGUUCUCGAUUUCUACCAGUUUGUCAUGGAAUCCCUCAAAUGCAUGUCGUGGUUUACUAUCAGAAGUCCAUUCAGGAGCAUCUCUUUGUCCAAGAUAAAUCUCAUCUGAAGAAUGCAUGGAUAACAUCUCUAUCAAAGAGAUGCCAAGAAGAGUUUGGAACUGGGCUGUGAUGGUCUUUAGGUAGGCUCGCUCAUGGUUUGACUCAAGCUCAACAUACUCAGGAGUGCCUGGCAUUGGCAUAAAGCGCCGGCUUACGGUUGGGCGAUUUGGGAGAUAACCAGCAUAAGGAUAUUGCCCAAAAUUAACUGCUGCAUGAAGAGCAGAAGCCACCCAUAUGAUUAUGGUGCAUGUUUGGACAAGCUCAGCUCUUGUCUGCAUCUGAGGCCACCAUGGUUCAUCUUUCAAGUCACCAUGACCCACGUUGCGAACUUCUGUCCACCAUGAUUGAAGUUCAGGAUCAUCUUGGAUCAUUUCAUCCGCUAUGUAAUAGAAUGAGCAAUACUCUUCCACCCAGGUUUCAAUUGCUGACCAAAUCUCAAGUCCAUCAACGGCGUAAGGAUAAUCCUCUAUCAGAAGUCUAAGGCCAUGAGGCUGGCUUGGGUCUGGUACUGCAACUCCUCUAUAAAUUAAAAAUAAUUGAGAGCAUUACUUGGACAAGAUGGAUAUGACAUUGAAUUUUAAGCUGUAACAACUAGUGACCUACCUCUUAAGUAGAUCUGCAGGGAGUGCCUGCUCAGUGAACACCCAAUUCUUAUAGAUGGAAGAAGACAUUUCCAUGGCAUACUUGGAUGGAAAUACUGUCAACUCAAGUAUUCCACCUGCAUUAAUGAGGAUCUGCCGAGCCAAAGCAUUGAUGUUCAUUGUAUCACGGAAGUGGGGAUGUAGAAGCUUAUAGAUUGGAUGAAGCACACUCAAUUGUCUGUUUGUUGCUAUAAUAAAUGGCUCUAAAGCUGCAUGGGUAUUCAACCUGCAAAGUAUGUAACAAAAUUAAUGUAGUGACUUCAAGAGGUGACCUGCUUCUAUAGUUUCUACCUUUUCAUCUGCUUUGUUAAGUAGCUCACCAGUGACUGACGAGCUGAUGAUACCCAGAAUCAUUUACAGCAACAUAGGCUUUAGCCAGAUGCCAGACAUAGCCUUCAGCACUCUCAUCAUUACAUGGGGUAAAUACUUGACUGCUGGAACCAUGUUUAUCUCCUUGUGGGUGUGGUAAGCUCAGUUCGAUUGCAAGUGGCUUCAAUGUUCCAUCAUCUUGGAGUAAAAGGAGGGUCCGACUAGCAUAGAUCUUAUUGGAUGUUGAGUUAAUCCGAUUAAGAUAAGGCAUAAGCCCGUCAUGAUAAUCUAAGAUGAAUAGCCUGUUAUACUUUAUUGCCUGUGACCACAAAAGAUAAAUGUGUAAAAUAUAUAGAAUCUAAAAUGGAAACAGAUGAAUAGUUUCCAUAUACAAAGGAUGCCUUGGUUUUCUCUUCCUUUCUUUAUGAUAAAUCACCAGAAAAAAGUUGGUCCUCAGAAAAAGAAAAAAAAAACAGAAAAAGAAAUGAAGAAUGAGUAUUACAUCAUCCACAGUUAGUCCAUCCAUGUAUUUCUCAAUCUGCUCUCUUGUGAUUUUACUAGUUUGGUUGCCAUAUACUUCAGGAUUUAGCUUGCUUGUGGGUGGAAAUUCCUGAUAGGCAUUUAGUCUUUUAGUAUCUGCAUUCAAAGAGUACAAAAACACAUAGAAAAGAUAAAAAAAUUCGUAAUUGAUAUUACCUGGAGACGCUGGAUAAUCACAGGAUUGACUCCAGCCAGCAUUUCACGUCCAAACUCUUCAUCUGUCCUCCAUGCAGAGUUAUCUUCUGUAUUUUUUUUUUUUUUGGGAAAGGGUUCACAAUUAAUUUACUUUUUCACCUUAGGAAGUACUCAGAGGCUAAAGUAGUUGUGGAGCCAGAGAAAGAGAACACAUAAGCACCUUUAAUUACAUGAGGAAUUGGAAAUUUAUGAAGUUGUCCUUUAAGCAUCUCCCAUGGCAUGCUUUCCGUGGAGUUAUCAGGAACUCGACCUUUAUAGACUUUUUGUACAUGUUUGAAGCUGUUAAACUCAUUAAAAGGUUUGGCUAACAGAGAUGCAAGCUGUGGAAUUAUGACCCGACCCAUUGAUUUGGCACCAUAUCGAAGGAAAUCCAUAAAUUUCACAUGGUUGAAACGUUCAUCUCGUGGAACAUAAAUGUUCAAACUCAGAAGUGGAAGCCGGCUCUCUAAGCUAGAAUCUGUAACAGCAAACUUAACUCUUUCAACAUGUUCUAUUAGUGGUUCUAAGACAACACCUGGAAAUAUGAUGACAUUAAUAUGUUUGCAGCCUAACCUCUUUUAGUCAGUGGACGGCCCGUUCUUCCCCUUCGGGGGUAUGGAUAAUCCUUUCCCCCACCAAGCACUGGUCGACCAUGUCCUAAAUCAUUGUAGACUGCAUAGUCGUAAACCCUGUCCCAUUCCUCGAGUUUGCCAGAACCUGUACCCUGAAGAUUAAUGAGCUCCUCAUUCCUGUAUGGCCGAAGGGGUUCUGGUGUGUUGCAUGGCAGGUAUGUCUGAUAACACCAAAAAUUAGAGAUUCAGUCUCUAUCAUGAUCCAUAAGUUUGAAUUAAAUCCUGUACGCACGACUUGGUUAAGAUUUAGUAUGUCAGUGUAGGUAUAAUGUGAGAUUAGAGAACUUCAACUAGUUUGGAUUGAGGAAUAGUUGAUUGAUUGAUAUGACAGUCUUAUUUUCAUCUAUAUAAAAACUCUAGGUUUACAUAGCCUUCUAUCCUGUCAUACUUUAGGACUGUCAUCAUAAUCCUGUAAGUCAGGAAGUUCAGAACUAUUUUGAAGAGGAACAUAUCUUAUUUAACUUGAAAAUGUAUUUUUUUUUUUUUUUGUGUAUCUGGGAAUCAUACAGUUAGGUUUAACCUAUCAGUAUGUAUUUUUUGCCUAGAAAAUUGAAGUGCAUCCUCAACCUUAGUGCUUUCUUCUGCAAUUACGUGUAAUAAGCUCUGCCAGUUCCUGUUGAGUGAUUACAAUGUUUUGCAGGCAUCAUAUAGAUUCCUGGAGUAAGGUUAAGAAAUAUGAAUACCUUGUUGCUAAAAAACACCCGAUCGUACUUGUAGCGAUGUGCUGGAUACACCCAAGAAUUGCAGACGAAACGAACUUCACCAUGUCCGGGAAUAUCUUCUAAAGCAACGGUCUUCAGGUAAAACUGGCUAUGAUGAUAGUUCUUUAUAAUGAAAGCACCUGGAACUCCUAUUGACUCAUCCAACUCAAAUGUAAUAUUGAAUGUAGCUUCUUCCACUGAUAUCCAAGUCUUGCUGGAUGUCCAGUCCAAAAUUGCUGGUUUUCCCACCUUCCCUUUUGAUCCAUUUCCUUUAAGAAUGAAAAAAAAAAAUUGUGCUUCAAUGUUACUGUACAGAAUAACAUACAUUCUGCAUUUAUUGCAUUAAGGCUUCCAAAUUAAUCCGAAGUAGUUGAUUUCAAACAUUUAAACGACUGCAGAGAAGGAACUAUCAAGGUUUUCUUAUGGUAUUUUUGCUUCUAAAUGGGAGGAAACCAGGGAAAUAAAACCUUUAGAUUUAUUCUGCUGCUUACUUUCGCAAAAUUUGUUGGUGAAAAUGGAAUAACCAGGCAUUCAGAAUUCAGGUAGUGGAGGUUCAGGAGUUAAAAUUUUGAAACUCCAGAAUAAGAGUUUGUUACUAAAAUGGCGUCGGAGGUUUAAUGAUUUUAACAAUGAACUAUGGAACAAUGUUAUAACCAUUAAAUAUAUGGUAAGAAUGAGGAGAGGUGCACUAACAGUGUAAGAGGUGUGUAUGGUGUAUCUGUUUGGAAGCCUACUAGGAGUCUAUGGGAAGAAUUUUAUGACUGUUUAAGCUGAAAGUUGGCAAUGGAAGAAGAGUGAAGAUGUGGUCAAAUAGGUGGCUAUGACACUUCCUUAAUUGAGCAGUUUCCAGAUCUUUAUGCAAUCAUAUCGAACAAGCACUCUAUGGCUGAUUUCUACUUUUAUUUAAGAAGGAACUUGGAUGACUGGGAGAUUGAUUGCAUAAAUGACUUCAUUCAACAGCUAAAACCUGUCUCUAUUUGAUGAUCAGGUGGCUGAUUCUUUGUUGCGGACGGUUAAGAAAAUGGUAAAUGUACUGUCAAAGUAAUGUUAUAAAAGCCUCUUGAGGAAAAUAGGUGGAAUCCAUGACUGUUGACCGUGGAAGAUAAUCUGGAAAUCUAUUGUCCCCGUAGAGCUGCUUGCUCCACUGCACUGUUACCAAGAAAAUAUGGUCAAUGUUCCGGAGCAUUUUUGGAGUCCAAUUGGUUACGCCAGGAAGAAUAAAACUUGCCUUACACAGCUCGUAUGCACAGCCAUUUGCUAGGGGCAGCAAACACUGCUGCAAUGCAGUUCCUACUUGCAUAUUCUGAAUACUUGACUAGAUAGAAAGCAACAGAUGUUUUAAUGAUAAGAGUGAUAACAUUGCAAAUGUAAUAUCUAGAUGCUGUACGGAUCUUUCUUUGUGGUGUGGGAAGAACAUUGUAUCUGACAUAAUAACUAACAAGUAUAAUAACUAACAAGUUUGUUUGCAUCUCUUUGCUCAGCUCUAGGGAGAAAAUGUAAAUUACCAGGAUCAGCAUGGACAUCACUAAUGAGCUCUAGGAUGACGCGUUUGCCAAAGAGCUCGUGCAUUCGAUCAAGGAAGGCAGAACCAGCAUCCUUGAAGUUCAAUACAUUUUUCUUCCUCAGUAC
Molecule: long non-coding RNA, 6538 nt
Filed under: Nicotiana tabacum (common tobacco)
Lineage: Eukaryota; Viridiplantae; Streptophyta; Magnoliopsida; Solanales; Solanaceae
Description: long non-coding RNA (NTAB_LNC000142)
Source: RNAcentral